CAGCAGCCGCGGGAAAACGAAGGGGGCUAGCGUUGUUCGGAUUUACUGGGCGUAAAGCGCACGUAGGCGGACUUUUAAGUCAGGGGUGAAAUCCCGGGGCUCAACCCCGGAACUGCCUUUGAUACUGGAAGUCUUGAGUAUGGUAGAGGUGAGUGGAAUUCCGAGUGUAGAGGUGAAAUUCGUAGAUAUUCGGAGGAACACCAGUGGCGAAGGCGGCUCACUGGACCAUUACUGACGCUGAGGUGCGAAAGCGUGGGGAGCAAACAGGAUUAGAUACCCCUGUAGUCCCUGUCUCUUAUAC
This 301-nucleotide ribosomal RNA is filed under the name uncultured bacterium. Its description in RNAcentral is "partial 16S ribosomal RNA". It matches the Rfam family "Bacterial small subunit ribosomal RNA", at positions 509 to 807 of the family's 1533-position model. The record is from RNAcentral.